Molecule: non-coding RNA, 419 nt
Filed under: Plasmopara halstedii
Lineage: Eukaryota; Oomycota; Peronosporomycetes; Peronosporales; Peronosporaceae
Description: Eukaryotic large subunit ribosomal RNA
Rfam family: Eukaryotic large subunit ribosomal RNA
Source: Rfam by way of RNAcentral
UUUACCCUACUGAUGAGUUCGUUGUCUAAACAGUAAUCCAACCCAGUACGAGAGGAACCGUUGGUUCAGAUAAUUGGUAACUGCGGUUAGCUGAAAAGCUAGUGCCGCCAAGCUACCAUCUGUAGGAUUAUGGCUGAACGCCUCUAAGUCAGAAUCCAUGCUGGAAUAGACGAUAAUCACCUUUCCUGAUGUGACGCGAAUAGCGAUAGAUGUCUUUUAGGCAUCCAGCAUCAUAAAAUUGCAACGCACUUCGUCGCUUGUCAAAUACUUGCGGCGAAGAGUAUGCUGAAUUGUAAUUUCAAAUAUUGGGAAAGAUAAAUCCUUUGUAGACGACUUAACUACAGAACGGGGUGUUGUAAGCAUGAGAGUAGUCUUGUACUACGAUCUGCUGAGAUUUAGCCCUUGUUCUAUUGAUUUGU